AAGUGAAACAUCUCAGUACCCUUAGGAAAAGAAAUCAAUUGAGAUUCCCUCAGUAGCGGCGAGCGAACGGGGAUCAGCCCAUUAAGUUAUGUGUGUUUUAGUGGAACGCUCUGGGAAGUGCGAACGUAGAGGGUGAUAUUCCCGUACACGAAAGGGCACACAUAAUGAUGACGAGUAGGGCGAGGCACGUGAAACCUUGUCUGAAUAUGGGGGGACCAUCCUCCAAGGCUAAAUACUCCUGACUGACCGAUAGUGAACCAGUACCGUGAGGGAAAGGCGAAAAGAACCCCUGUGAGGGGAGUGAAAUAGAUCCUGAAACCGCAUGCAUACAAGCAGUGGGAGCACCUUCGUGGUGUGACUGCGUACCUUUUGUAUAAUGGGUCAGCGACUUAUAUUCAGUAGCGAGGUUAACCGUAUAGGGGAGCCGUAGAGAAAUCGAGUCUUAAUAGGGCGUUUAGUUGCUGGGUAUAGACCCGAAACCAGGCGAUCUAUCCAUGAGCAGGUUGAAGGUUGGGUAACACUAACUGGAGGACCGAACCCACUGUCGUUGAAAAGCCAGGGGAUGACUUGUGGAUAGGGGUGAAAGGCUAAUCAAGCCUGGUGAUAGCUGGUUCUCCCCGAAAGCUAUUUAGGUAGCGCCUCGGACGAAUACCAUAGGGGGUAGAGCACUGUUUCGGCUAGGGGGUCAUCCCGACUUACCAAACCGAUGCAAACUCCGAAUACCUAUGAGUACUAUCCGGGAGACAGACUGCGGGUGCUAACGUCCGUAGUCAAGAGGAAAACAAUCCAGACCGCCAGCUAAGGCCCCAAAAUCAUAGUUAAGUGGGAAACGAUGUGGGAAGGCAUAGACAGCUAGGAGGUUGGCUUAGAAGCAGCCACCCUUUAAAGAAAGCGUAAUAGCUCACUAGUCGAGUCGGCCUGCGCGGAAGAUGUAACGGGGCUAAAACUAUGUGCCGAAGCUGCGGAUGUAUACUUUGUAUACGUGGUAGGGGAGCGUUCUGUAAGCCGAUGAAGGUGUGUUGAGAAGCAUGCUGGAGGUAUCAGAAGUGCGAAUGCUGACGUGAGUAACGACAAAACGGGUGAAAAACCCGUUCGCCGAAAGACCAAGGGUUCCAGUCCAACGUUAAUCGGGGCUGGGUGAGUCGACCCCUAAGGCGAGGCCGAAAGGCGUAGUCGAUGGGAAAAUGGUUAAUAUUCCAUUACUUCUGUGUAAUGCGAUGAGAGGACGGAGAAGGCUAAAUCAGCCUGGCGUUGGUUGUCCAGGUGAAAGGAUGUAGGCAUGUAUCUUAGGCAAAUCCGGGGUACUCUAUGCUGAGAUCUGAUAGCAAGCUGUACUUGUACAGCGAAGUGGUUGAUGCCAUGCUUCCAGGAAAAGUCUC
Molecule: ribosomal RNA, 1379 nt
Filed under: Acinetobacter baumannii
Lineage: Bacteria; Pseudomonadati; Pseudomonadota; Gammaproteobacteria; Moraxellales; Moraxellaceae
Description: partial 23S ribosomal RNA
Rfam family: Bacterial large subunit ribosomal RNA
Source: RNAcentral